This is a non-coding RNA of Lentinula guzmanii, 92 nucleotides long. Lineage: Eukaryota; Fungi; Basidiomycota; Agaricomycetes; Agaricales; Omphalotaceae. The record is from the annotation of a GenBank genome assembly.
GACCCCGUAGCUCAGUGGUAGAGCGUGAGAUUCCAGAAAUUGUAGUCGCAUACGAUUCCUCAAGGUCAUCCGUUCAAUCCGGGUCGGGGUCA